CCGUGUGUGAGCUGUGCCGUGUGUGAGCUGUGCCGUGUGAGCUGUGCCGUGUGUGAGCUGUGCCGUGUGGUCUGUGCCGUGUGUGAGCUGUGCCGUGUGUGAGCUGUGCCGUGUGUGAGCUGUGCCGUGUGGUCUGUGCCGUGUGUGAGCUGUGCCGUGUGUGAGCUGUGCAGUGUGUGAGCUGUGCCAUGUGUGAGCUGCCGUGUGUGCACUGUGCCAUGUGUGCUGUGCCGUGUGGUCUGUUCUGUGUGAUCUGUGCUCUCUGAGCUGUGCAGUGAGGCAGUCCCUGUCCCUCCACGCUCUUCGUUGUCUGGGAUUCUCAGCCCUGAUCCCAGAGUGUGUGGUGUGUCCUGCACCUGCGCCCACAGCCUGUCCUCCACUCCUUUCCCAGGAUGUGGAAAACACCCUGGGACGGCAGGCCCAGCUGAGAGCUGCCCGGCGUGGGGCUCCUCUCAGGUCCGCUGCGCGUGGGGUCUGUGACCCCUUCCCCGGCCUGUCCGUAAAGGUUUGCUGUUGGGAGAUGCUGAGCGUGUGAUAAAAUAGAUUGUUUUGCUACUUGAGAAUGCGCCAAGCUGUUUUCCGCUUGCGGGUGGGGGCGGCCAGGUUUUCCUUGCCGUCAUUCCUCUUACCAUUCAGUGUAUGUUUUCACACUCCCAGCGUUUGUCAGUAGUUUCCCUGGUGACACCACGGCGGGCCGAUCGGGGAGAAGAGGUUGGGGCUGGGGCCGGGACGGAGGCCACCUCGCUGCCUCUCUGGUUUUGGGAAACCCGUUCUGUGCCUGCCACGUUUCACAGCGAGGGCACCGCUUCCGUCUCACAGGUUGAGUGGCAGAGAACACAGCGUGUUCACAGGUGUGGCGAUCGUCCAGUGCUCCAGCCGAGGGACAAGGCAGGUGGCUAACGGCAUCCAGGGCCUCGGCGGGAUGCUGGUGGAGUCCGUGCACGGGGCUUCGCCACUCCGUCGGCUUCCCGCUGAACCACUUCUGCAGGCAGCUCAAUGCG
Molecule: long non-coding RNA, 1001 nt
Organism: Aotus nancymaae (Ma's night monkey)
Lineage: Eukaryota; Metazoa; Chordata; Mammalia; Primates; Aotidae
Source: Ensembl